GUUUCCGUAGGUGAACCUGCGGCUGGAUCAUUA
Molecule: ribosomal RNA, 33 nt
Filed under: Pratylenchus goodeyi
Lineage: Eukaryota; Metazoa; Nematoda; Chromadorea; Rhabditida; Pratylenchidae
Description: partial 18S ribosomal RNA
Source: RNAcentral